Molecule: non-coding RNA, 71 nt
Organism: Stegodyphus mimosarum
Lineage: Eukaryota; Metazoa; Arthropoda; Arachnida; Araneae; Eresidae
Source: Rfam
GCCUUCGUGGUAUAACGGUAGCACACUCGGCGCGUAUUCGAGAGGUCCUGGUUUGAGUCCCGUCGAGGGCA